UACGGGGGGGGUAAGCGUUGUUCGGAAUUACUGGGCGUAAAGGGCUCGUAGGCGGCCAACUAAGUCAGACGUGAAAUCCCUCAGCUUAACUGGGGAACUGCGUCUGAUACUGGAUGGCUUGGAUUCGGGAGAGGAAUGCGGAAUUCCAGGUGUAGCGGUGAAAUGCGUAGAUAUCUGGAGGAACACCUGUGGCGAAAGCGGCGCACUGGACCACAACUGACGCUGAGGCGCGAAAGCUAGGGGAGCAAACAGG
This 253-nucleotide ribosomal RNA is filed under the name uncultured bacterium. RNAcentral's name for it is "partial 16S ribosomal RNA". It matches the Rfam family "Bacterial small subunit ribosomal RNA", at positions 524 to 776 of the family's 1533-position model. The record is from RNAcentral.